This 492-nucleotide ribosomal RNA is filed under the name uncultured bacterium. RNAcentral describes it as "partial 16S ribosomal RNA". It matches the Rfam family "Bacterial small subunit ribosomal RNA", at positions 29 to 507 of the family's 1533-position model. The record is from RNAcentral.
AGUGAACGCUGGCGGUAGGCCUAACACAUGCAAGUCGAACGGCAGCACAGUAAGAGCUUGCUCUUACGGGUGGCGAGUGGCGGACGGGUGAGGAAUACAUCGGAAUCUACUUUUUCGUGGGGGAUAACGUAGGGAAACUUACGCUAAUACCGCAUACGACCUACGGGUGAAAGCAGGGGAUAUUCGGACCUUGCGCGAUUGAAUGAGCCGAUGUCGGAUUAGCUAGUUGGCGGGGUAAAGGCCCACCAAGGCGACGAUCCGUAGCUGGUCUGAGAGGAUGAUCAGCCACACCGGAACUGAGACACGGUCCAGACUCCUACGGGAGGCAGCAGUGGGGAAUAUUGGACAAUGGGCGCAAGCCUGAUCCAGCCAUACCGCGUGGGUGAAGAAGGCCUUCGGGUUGUAAAGCCCUUUUGUUGGGAAAGAAAAGCAGCAGGUUAAUACCCCGCUGUUCUGACGGUACCCAAAGAAUAAGCACCGGCUAACUUCGUG